RNAcentral lists this ribosomal RNA (491 nucleotides) under uncultured bacterium. RNAcentral's name for it is "partial 16S ribosomal RNA". It matches the Rfam family "Bacterial small subunit ribosomal RNA", at positions 899 to 1397 of the family's 1533-position model. The record is from RNAcentral.
ACUCAAAUGAAUUGACGGGGACCCGCACAACCGGUGGAGCGUGUGGUUCAAUUCGAGACAAAGCGAAAAACCUUACCAGGGUUUGACAUAUUACCGUUUUAUACCUUUGGAAACAUUGGUAGAUCCGUAAGGAUGGUAGUACAGGUGAUGCAUGGUUGUCCUCAGUUCGUGCCGUGAGGUGUUCCCUUAAGUGGGGAAACGAACGCAACCCCUUUGUAAUGUUACAUAUUCAUUGCAUACUGCCCCGAUUAUAUCGGGGAGGAAGGCGGGGCAGAUGUCAAAUCAGCACGUCCCUUAUACCCUGGGAUACACACACCCUACAAUGGCGAAUAACAACGUGUUGCAAGCCGGCAACGGCAAGCUAAUCACUGAAAUUUCGCCUCAGUUCAGAUUGGGGUCUGCAACCCGACCCCAUGAAGUCGGAAUCGGUAGUAAUCGCGGAUCAGCAGGCCGCGGUGAAUACGUUCUCGGGUCUUGUACACACCGCCCGU